Long non-coding RNA from Xenopus tropicalis (tropical clawed frog), 115 nucleotides. RefSeq lists it as uncharacterized. Lineage: Eukaryota; Metazoa; Chordata; Amphibia; Anura; Pipidae. The record is from RefSeq and is a predicted model, not a curated record. The transcript has 2 exons.
CGUAUUAAUAAACUGACUGGUGCAAAUAUUACGGCCUACCCUGAUUACGAGGAAGAAUAUGAUUUACUGAAGCGCCAUUGGUGGCAGUGCAAUGGCCCCUGUGGAGAAAUAGAAA